This is a long non-coding RNA of Triticum aestivum (bread wheat), 193 nucleotides long. RefSeq lists it as uncharacterized. The record is from RefSeq and is a predicted model, not a curated record. NCBI's taxonomy places the organism in Eukaryota, Viridiplantae, Streptophyta, Magnoliopsida, Poales, Poaceae. The transcript is spliced from 3 exons.
AAUCGAGUGUGCCUAACUCUGCAUCUAUAACUGGCAUGUCUUCUUUGGACGGGUGCAGGUGCUCUACUACGCGCUACUCCAGACGGGUCACCUGGACAGAUGUUCUGGAACCAUCAUGGUCUGCGUCACUACUGGGGCGUGUGUAUCCGUGGUCAGCACACCAAGACUACCGGCAGGAGAGGGAAGACUGUUG